GCCGGGGUGGCGGAAUCGGCAGACGCGGAGGACUUAAAAUCCUUUGCCCGAAAGGGCGUGCGGGUUCAAGCCCCGCUCCCGGCA
This 84-nucleotide transfer RNA is filed under the name Bacillota bacterium. RNAcentral's name for it is "tRNA-Leu". It matches the Rfam family "tRNA". From Rfam's summary of the family: Transfer RNA (tRNA) molecules are approximately 80 nucleotides in length. Their secondary structure includes four short double-helical elements and three loops (D, anti-codon, and T loops). Further hydrogen bonds mediate the characteristic L-shaped molecular structure. tRNAs have two regions of fundamental functional importance: the anti-codon, which is responsible for specific mRNA codon recognition, and the 3' end, to which the tRNAs corresponding amino acid is attached (by aminoacyl-tRNA synthetases). tRNAs cope with the degeneracy of the genetic code in two manners: having more than one tRNA (with a specific anti-codon) for a particular amino acid; and 'wobble' base-pairing, i.e. permitting non-standard base-pairing at the 3rd anti-codon position. Lineage: Bacteria; Bacillati; Bacillota. The record is from RNAcentral.